GACAGAGGUGCCGAGCGUUAGGCGGAAUCACUGGGCUUAAAGCGUGUGUAGGCGGCGGCGUAAGUACCUUGUGAAAUCCCACGGCUCAACCGUGGAACUGCUCGGUAUACUGCGUCGCUUGAGCCAGCUAGGGGCGACCGGAACAAACGGUGGAGCGGUGAAAUGCGUAGAUAUCGUUUGGAACGCCGAUGGUGAAAACAGGUCGCUGGGCUGUGC
RNAcentral lists this ribosomal RNA (216 nucleotides) under uncultured bacterium. RNAcentral's name for it is "partial 16S ribosomal RNA". It matches the Rfam family "Bacterial small subunit ribosomal RNA", at positions 524 to 740 of the family's 1533-position model. The record is from RNAcentral.